UACGUAGGGAGCAAGCGUUGUCCGGAAUCAUUGGGCGUAAAGCGCGCGUAGGUGGCUUCUUAAGUCCGUUGUGAAAGUCAAAGGCUCAACCUUUGAAAGCCGAUGGAUACUGUGAAGCUAGAGUACGGAAGAGGCGAGUGGAAUUCCUGGUGUAGCGGUGGAAUGCGCAGAUAUCAGGAGGAACACCAAUAGCGAAGGCAGCUCGCUGGGACGUUACUGACACUGAGGCGCGAAAGCGUGGGGAGCGAACAGG
Molecule: ribosomal RNA, 253 nt
Filed under: uncultured bacterium
Lineage: Bacteria
Description: partial 16S ribosomal RNA
Rfam family: Bacterial small subunit ribosomal RNA
Source: RNAcentral